Molecule: ribosomal RNA, 404 nt
Filed under: uncultured Glomeromycotina
Lineage: Eukaryota; Fungi; Glomeromycota
Description: SSU rRNA
Rfam family: Eukaryotic small subunit ribosomal RNA
Source: RNAcentral
AGCAGCCGCGGUAAUUCCAGCUCCAAUAGCGUAUAUUAAAGUUGUUGCAGUUAAAAAGCUCGUAGUUGAAUUUCGGGAUUUAUCCGUCGGUCGGGCUUUUGGGUCUGUACUGGCGUGAUGGAUUCCUACCUUCUGAAUAACCGGCAUGUCAUUUAUUUGGUGCGCUGGGGAAGCAGGACUGUUACCUUAGAAAAAAUUAGAGUGCUUAAAGCAGGCUAUUGCCUGAAUACAUUAGCAUGGAAUAAUGAAAUAGGACGGCAUGGUUCUAUUUUGUUGGUUUCUAGGAUCACCGUAAUGAUUAAUAGGGAUAGUUGGGGGCAUUAGUAUUCAAUUGUCAGAGGUGAAAUUCUUGGAUUUAUUGAAGACUAACUUCUGCGAAAGCAUUUGCCAAGGAUGUUUUCAUU